This 450-nucleotide ribosomal RNA is filed under the name uncultured bacterium. RNAcentral's name for it is "partial 16S ribosomal RNA". It matches the Rfam family "Bacterial small subunit ribosomal RNA", at positions 354 to 796 of the family's 1533-position model. The record is from RNAcentral.
GUGGGGAAUCUUCCGCAAUGGACGAAAGUCUGACGGAGCAACGCCGCGUGAGUGAUGAAGGUCUUCGGAUUGUAAAGCUCUGUUAAUCGGGACGAAAGAGCCUAGUGUGAAUAAUGCUAGGAAGUGACGGUACCGGAAUAGAAAGCCACGGCUAACUACGUGCCAGCAGCCGCGGUAAUACGUAGGUGGCAAGCGUUGUCCGGAAUUAUUGGGCGUAAAGCGCGCGCAGGCGGAUCUGCCAGUCUGUCUUAAAAGUUCGGGGCUUAACCCCGUGAUGGGAUGGAAACUACAGAUCUAGAGUAUCGGAGAGGAAAGUGGAAUUCCUAGUGUAGCGGUGAAAUGCGUAGAUAUUAGGAAGAACACCAGUGGCGAAGGCGGCUGCCUAGUCUACAACUGACGCUGAGGCACGAAAGCGUGGGGAGCAAAUAGGAUUAGAUACCCCUGUAGUCC